AGUGAACGCUGGCGGUAGGCCUAACACAUGCAAGUCGAACGGCAGCACAGUAAGAGCUUGCUCUUACGGGUGGCGAGUGGCGGACGGGUGAGGAAUACAUCGGAAUCUACUUUUUCGUGGGGGAUAACGUAGGGAAACUUACGCUAAUACCGCAUACGACCUACGGGUGAAAGCAGGGGAUCUUCGGACCUUGCGCGAUUGAAUGAGCCGAUGUCGGAUUAGCUAGUUGGCGGGGUAAGGGCCCACCAAGGCGACGAUCCGUAGCUGGUCUGAGAGGAUGAUCAGCCACACUGGAACUGAGACACGGUCCAGACUCCUACGGGAGGCAGCAGUGGGGAAUAUUGGACAAUGGGCGCAAGCCUGAUCCAGCCAUACCGCGUGGGUGAAGAAGGCCUUCGGGUUGUAAAGCCCUUUUGUUGGGAAAGAAAAGCAGCAGGUUAAUACCCCGCUGUUCUGACGGGACCCAAAGAAUAAGCACCGGCUAACUUCGU
RNAcentral lists this ribosomal RNA (491 nucleotides) under uncultured bacterium. Its description in RNAcentral is "partial 16S ribosomal RNA". It matches the Rfam family "Bacterial small subunit ribosomal RNA", at positions 29 to 506 of the family's 1533-position model. The record is from RNAcentral.